This 252-nucleotide ribosomal RNA is filed under the name uncultured bacterium. RNAcentral's name for it is "partial 16S ribosomal RNA". It matches the Rfam family "Bacterial small subunit ribosomal RNA", at positions 355 to 624 of the family's 1533-position model. The record is from RNAcentral.
UGGGGAAUAUUGGACAAUGGGGGCAACCCUGAUCCAGCAAUGCCGCGUGUGUGAAGAAGGUUUUCGGAUUGUAAAGCACUUUCGGCGGGGACGAUGAUGACGGUACCCGCAGAAGAAGCCCCGGCUAACUUCGUGCCAGCAGCCGCGGUAAUACGAAGGGGGCUAGCGUUGCUCGGAAUGACUGGGCGUAAAGGGCGUGUAGGCGGUUUGUACAGUCAGAUGUGAAAUCCCCGGGCUUAACCUGGGAGCUGC